AACGAACGCUGGCGGCAUGCCUAACACAUGCAAGUCGAACGCGUGUAGCAAUACACGAGUGGCGGACGGGUGAGUAACGCGUGGGAACCUGCCCAAUGGUAGGGAAUAACUGCGGGAAACUGCAGCUAAUACCCUAUGCUCCCUACGGGGGAAAGAUUUAUCGCCAUUGGAGGGGCCCGCGUCGGAUUAGCUAGUUGGCGGGGUAACGGCCCACCAAGGCUACGAUCCGUAGCUGGUCUGAGAGGAUGAUCAGCCACACUGGGACUGAGAUACGGCCCAGACUCCUACGGGAGGCAGCAGUGGGGAAUAUUGGACAAUGGGGGAAACCCUGAUCCAGCAAUGCCGCGUGAGUGAAGAAGGCCUUAGGGUUGUAAAGCUCUUUCGGCGGGACGAUGGUGACGGUACCCGCAGAAG
This 414-nucleotide ribosomal RNA is filed under the name uncultured bacterium. Its description in RNAcentral is "bacterial SSU rRNA". It matches the Rfam family "Bacterial small subunit ribosomal RNA", at positions 29 to 487 of the family's 1533-position model. The record is from RNAcentral.